CCCAGCAUAUGGAGAUAAAGCCCGUGUUCAAAUAAAGAAGAAAUAGUAAGAUGUGAUUCUUAUCCACGAGAAGUCUCAAGCAAAACCUCUCCAUUCGUUGAGCUCACUAGAAAUCUUCCAGGUGUCCCAAGAGGCUGUCCGCCGAUGCAGACGUUGAAGACAAGACUGAACUGUGUGGGUCAUUAAUGAGUGAAUGUGCAGGAACGCAGAGAGUCGUGGAGAAGCAUCUCCCAGUACUGUGCAACUACAAGUAGAACGCUUUCAAGUUCACUACCUACACAUUUAUUGCAUUGAAGCUGGAGAUUACCUGAAAAUCGUCUUGUCAGGUUCAUCUUUCCAUCAGAUACACAGAAGAUAGGGAGGGCCAGGGAGGAAGCCCCUGCUGUCUUCAUGCAUAAGGAAAGACUGCGGCAAAGAAAGGUACACUCUUGUCCUUCCUUGUUUCAUGCAUCAAGAGAAAUGGAAGAAGAGGAGUCCAACAGUGGUUGUUCCUAAGAUAAUUCUAUUCAAGAGAAUUUUGUUUCACUUAAAAUGAGAAUAUGAAAGGAGUUAACUUUUCAAAAGGUGAAUGAUGUUUAAGCAGCAACAAGAAAUGGCUCAGUAUUUGUGUUCUAUUUGAAAUCCAUGUUAUUUGAAGACACUAAGUUUGUUGGAAUUUGUUAGAGAAGCAAUAGGCAAUUGAAGCAAUAGACAGUGCAGCAAAUGAGAGCAGUAAAAAGAUCAUUCUUGACAUUCAUCUUCUCUACUGUACAUCCUAUACCUGAAAAAUCUUUAGGUACAUUGCAUACCUAAAAACAUAUUCUGUGACAAUGCAGAUAUUUUCAUAAGUAGCAAACCAAGAUAAGAUAGCACAC
This 854-nucleotide long non-coding RNA is filed under the name Oryctolagus cuniculus (rabbit). RNAcentral describes it as "lncRNA (ENSOCUG00000036300.1)". Lineage: Eukaryota; Metazoa; Chordata; Mammalia; Lagomorpha; Leporidae. The record is from RNAcentral.